Molecule: long non-coding RNA, 1213 nt
Filed under: Calidris pygmaea (Spoon-billed sandpiper)
Lineage: Eukaryota; Metazoa; Chordata; Aves; Charadriiformes; Scolopacidae
Description: lncRNA (ENSCPGG00000012869.1)
Source: RNAcentral
GUUUCAUAAGCUAAUACACAAAGAGUGGUGAGGUUUUCACAUUAUAGCUCUUGGGAUGGGGGAAGCAGAGACUACCGAUCAAAUCCGUUUUUACUAACAGCACCGUUGCACAAUUGUAACGCUAAAUUGGAUUUCAUAAUCCAAUUUUCAUAAACCAAUGGUUUCAUAAAGUAGAAAGUUCAGUGUGGCACAAGGUAAGGCGCUGCUCUUACCCAGCACUUAAAAGGAGCAUAGAAACAAACCCAAUCUUUGCACAGUCCCAGCCAGCCAGCUUCAUAAACUGUUACCUUUAGCCGCUGGAGCGAUACUCUACUUCCUAGAUAAAGUAAAAACAAUAACCUACACAUAGGCCGUGUUUUUAGGCCGGCUCUAGCACCUUCCCUUCCCUUCCCUUCCCUUCCCUUCCCUUCCCUUCCCUUCCCGGCCCCCGGAGGCAGCAGCCGCCCUCGGCGGAAGAUAUUUCUAGACUUGAAGCAAUUUACGUGCAAAAGCCAAUUAGCGCGUCUGCAAACGGACACAUUGAUCUCUGCUUUCUCUCCUUCCUUCCUUCCUUCCCGCCCGGCCCGCUUUCCCGGCCCCCGCCCCCGGGCCCGGGCCGACCCGCCGCCGCCACCAUGCCGCGGGGCCCCCUGGGUACUGUAGUUUUCGGCGGCGGCGCGGCGGAGGAUGCUUUCCCGCUCCUUAAAAUCCCCCUGAAGGAAAGCCCUGACCUAGUGGAAGAGUUGCCCGACUUCUUGGUGAGCCCUGCCUUUUGUGGAGGAUAAAGGUCUCUGCUGACUUACUGCUGGCAACCUCUGGGAUAGGCUCUGGAAAUCAACUUGUCUUCACUCUGUCAUCCUGUCCUUUCCUCGUGAAUACAUGGAGUGAUUAGCUUGUUUCUGCUUUCCUGUUCUUAUUUCCUUUAAGGACCUAGUGAUAGACCCUUGCCUGAAAUGGCACCUGUCUUAAUUUUAAAACAUCUUUUAAACAAAUGUAUCUUCCUUCUUUACGAUAGCAGACAAUGGUUGCUUAAGGUAAUUAUGUACCACAUUUUGCAGUCUUUCUGGAGUUUUAGGAUUUUACAUACUGCUUCCAAAAAAACCCUGAGUGUGUGGUAAUGCUCACAGAUGAAAUAUCUACCUUGUGAAUGGCUUUUGGUCUUUUGAGAACAAAUUUUUGACUCCUGGAUUAGUGGCAAAAUAAAAAGAAAUGUCACCUCUUGGAAUUUUCGUUU